GGGAAUACAGCUCAGCAGCACAGCAUCUGCCUGGAAAGCAUGAGGUCCUGAGUUCAAUUCCCAGUACCCCUG
RNAcentral lists this transfer RNA (72 nucleotides) under Cavia porcellus (domestic guinea pig). It matches the Rfam family "tRNA". From Rfam's summary of the family: Transfer RNA (tRNA) molecules are approximately 80 nucleotides in length. The record is from Rfam by way of RNAcentral. Lineage: Eukaryota; Metazoa; Chordata; Mammalia; Rodentia; Caviidae.